CAGGAUUAGAUACCUGGUAGUCCACGCCGUAAACGAUGAGUGCUAGGUGUUAGGCCCUUUCCGGGGCUUAGUGCGCAGCUAACGCAUUAAGCACUCCGCCUGGGGAGUACGACCGCAAGGUUGAAACUCAAAGGAUUGACGGGGGCCCGCACAAGCGGUGGAGCAUGUGGUUUAAUUCGAAGCAACGCGAAGAACUUACCAGGUCUUGACAUCCCGAUGCUAUUCCUAGAGAUAGGAAGUUUCUUCGGAACAUCGUGACAGGUGGUGCAUGGUUGUCGUCAGCUCGUGUCGUGAGAUGUUGGGUUAAGUCCCGCACGAGCGCAACCCCUAUUGUUAGUUGCCAUCAUUAAGUUGGGCACUCUAGCGAGACUGCCGUAAUAAACCGGAGGAAGGUGGGGAUGACGUCAAAUCAUCAUGCCCCUUAUGACCUGGGCACACACGUGCUACAAUGGUUGGUACAACGAGUCGCGAGUCGGUGACGGCAAGCAAAUCUCUAAAGCCAAUCUCAGUUCGGAUUGUAGGCUGCAACUCGCCUACAUGAAGUCGGAAUCGCUGUAAUCGCGGAUCAGCACGCCGCGGUGAAUACGUUCCCGGGCCUUGCACACACCGCCCGU
Molecule: ribosomal RNA, 614 nt
Filed under: uncultured Streptococcus sp.
Lineage: Bacteria; Bacillati; Bacillota; Bacilli; Lactobacillales; Streptococcaceae
Description: bacterial SSU rRNA
Rfam family: Bacterial small subunit ribosomal RNA
Source: RNAcentral